UACGAAGGGGGCGAGCGUUGUUCGGAAUUACUGGGCGUAAAGCGCACGUAGGCGGCUUGGUAUGUCGGGUGUGAAAUCCCCGGGCUCAACCUGGGAACUGCAUCCGAAACUGCCUUGCUCGAGUAUGGGAGAGGGAAGUGGAAUUUCCGGUGUAGCGGUGAAAUGCGUAGAUAUCGGAAGGAACAUCAGUGGCGAAGGCGACUUCCUGGACCAAUACUGACGCUCAGGUGCGAAAGCGUGGGGAGCAAACAGG
Molecule: ribosomal RNA, 253 nt
Filed under: uncultured bacterium
Lineage: Bacteria
Description: partial 16S ribosomal RNA
Rfam family: Bacterial small subunit ribosomal RNA
Source: RNAcentral